This is a long non-coding RNA of Biomphalaria glabrata, 619 nucleotides long. RefSeq lists it as uncharacterized. NCBI's taxonomy places the organism in Eukaryota, Metazoa, Mollusca, Gastropoda, Planorbidae. The record is from RefSeq and is a predicted model, not a curated record. The transcript has 3 exons.
UAAUACGAUUUCAAAGUGUUUAGUCGUUAACUAGGCUACUAUGGCUAACAUUAUAAUUUUGUUUAAUUGCUUCUAAUACACUAUAUCUGUGACUAUAUCAGUGAUACACAAAUUAAGACCCGCGAGCCGCAGGUUAUAUCUGGCUAGUAUAUAAAUAAACUAAUAAUAAAAGCUGUAUAAUGUUAAGUAGCAACCUGCGAGUCGAACACAAUCUCUCUACGUAAACUCGUUAAAUCAAUUCUUAAAAGACGCAUGUUUAGCAAAUUUGUUUAUAGAUCACCAAAACAUAAAGCGUGUUUACAUGUCCUGUUAAUGUGAUCAAUCAACACAGUCUGUGGAGACUGGACUGUUCAGUGAAAGAGUGCUUUCUUCAGCUUCUUGGUACACUGCCUGACGGUACAUUAAUUGAAAUGACGAGGAAACUAGUUCUAUUUGUUUGUUUUGUGAUACUUUCUACAACUGCGAUGGUGACUUCCGGUACACCUCUACAAGUUAGCUCCGUUUGUUCUAGGUACACCUCUACAAGUUAGCUCCGUUUGUUCUAGGUACAUCUCUACAAGUUAGCUCCGUUUGUUCUAGGUACACCUCUACAAGUUAGCUCCGUUUGUUCUAGGUACAC